Molecule: ribosomal RNA, 447 nt
Filed under: uncultured bacterium
Lineage: Bacteria
Description: bacterial SSU rRNA
Rfam family: Bacterial small subunit ribosomal RNA
Source: RNAcentral
UACCAGACUCCUACGGGAGGCAGCAGUGGGGAAUAUUGCACAAUGGGGGAAACCCUGAUGCAGCGACGCCGCGUGAGCGAUGAAGUAUUUCGGUAUGUAAAGCUCUAUCAGCAGGGAAGAAAAUGACGGUACCUGACUAAGAAGCCCCGGCUAACUACGUGCCAGCAGCCGCGGUAAUACGUAGGGGGCAAGCGUUAUCCGGAUUUACUGGGUGUAAAGGGAGCGUAGACGGUUCUGCAAGCCAGAUGUGAAAGCCCGGGGCUCAACUCCGGGACUGCUUUUGAAACUGUAUGGCUAGAUUGCAGGAGAGGCAAGUGGAAUUCCUAGUGUAGCGGUGAAAUGCGUAGAUAUUAGGAGGAACACCAGUGGCGAAGGCGGCUUGCUGGACUGUAAAUGACGCUGAGGCUCGAAAGCGUGGGGAGCAAACAGGAUUAGAUACCCCAGUAA